RNAcentral lists this ribosomal RNA (301 nucleotides) under uncultured bacterium. Its description in RNAcentral is "partial 16S ribosomal RNA". It matches the Rfam family "Bacterial small subunit ribosomal RNA", at positions 509 to 808 of the family's 1533-position model. The record is from RNAcentral.
CAGUAGCCGCGGUAAUACGUAGGGGGCGAGCGUUGUCCGAAGUUACUGGGCGUAAAGCGCGCGUAGGCGGCUUCUUAAGUCUGAGGUGAAAGGUUCGACGCUUAACGUGAACAGUGCCUUGGAUACUGGGGAGCUUGAGUAUGGGAGAGGGCAGUGGAAUGGCUGGUGUAGCGGUGAAAUGCGUAGAUAUCAGUCGGAACACCCAUGGCGAAGGCAGCUGCCUGGCCUAAUACUGACGCUGAGGUGCGAAAGCGUGGGGAGCGAACGGGAUUAGAUACCCGAGUAGUCCCUGUCUCUUAUA